AAAUUAAAUAACUUUUAAGGUGCUUCUUUAAAAAGAAGUUAAAAGGGAAAGAGGUGAAAAUCCUCUACAGCCCCCGCUACUGUAAACAGGGAUGAAAUCUUCUAUACCACUGGGAAACUGGGAAGGUGAAGAGAGUAAGUUGAUCUGUUAGUCAGGAAACCUGCCUUAAAAUGAGAAACUAG
Molecule: non-coding RNA, 182 nt
Filed under: Proteiniborus sp. DW1
Lineage: Bacteria; Bacillati; Bacillota; Clostridia; Eubacteriales
Also listed under: 1 other name
Source: RNAcentral